CACCAUCAUCUUCUUUGGUUAGGAAUACUAUUCAACCUGCUUCUGAUCAGCUCCAUGUUCCUCAUGUUGGAGCUGUCAGGAACUUCUUGCCCAACCCUUUUGUGGUUUCGCCCUUUAGUGGGGUCGCAAGAAGCACUGGCCGGCAGAGUCAGUCAGCAGGUCAUCCUGUUCAAUCUAAUAAGGUUUCUGCAGCUAAAGUUACUGAAGGUGAUCAAUUUUCCAAGAAUAUUAGAGUUCAGCAAGCUAAUGAAGGUAAUCUUGGUCAAUCUCAAGCCUCUGCUCCUGUCCAGCCUUCUGCACUUGCUUAUAAAACUGGUCUAGAAAUUCCAGCAGUUAAUAGGCCCCCUCAGUCUUCCAGUGUUCCUUCUGGACCAUCACUUAAGAGGACUGCACUCAUAUGCCCUCCCAGUGCUCCCCAAUUUCGGUGCAAAAAGACCAGAUCAAUUAAACCUGCCAAUCUUCCAGCUGCUCCAACAUUGCUCCAAACUGGUCCACCACAAGCACCUCUAACUUCAGUUGAUUCCUUAAGCUCACCCAUUCACCAGACUGUUCCCAGUCGCCCUCCUCUAGCCCGCACUUCUCCUCGUCUUCCAUCCUUGCCCAGAACUUCUUCAC
This 615-nucleotide unclassified non-coding RNA is filed under the name Hevea brasiliensis (rubber tree). The record is from RNAcentral. Lineage: Eukaryota; Viridiplantae; Streptophyta; Magnoliopsida; Malpighiales; Euphorbiaceae.